GACAGGUGUUGAGAUCUGAACUCUGGUGAUUGUUGAGUGCUGGUGAAAACUGGUUGAACUUCUAAAGUGAAAGUGAAAGUGUUUCCACGCAGACUCCAUUUUGUGAAGAAAGCACAUGAGCUGUUUGUGAAUAAUGUGAAUCCGUUUGAGAACAGAUCAGUUUAAUGCUGUUAUCUAGAGACUGAAUGGAUUUAUGAACUGAAUAAAGUUUGUGUUUGAUGUUCUUCAUUGUUGAGACAGAGCACUGCCUGUAAAAUGAGUCUCUGUGAGAAGAGAGAUGAGGAGAAUGAUGUUCAGACACAGAAAGCAGCAUCUCCAGAACCCAGCUGUGUGUCUAUGAAAAGCGACGCAUCCAUGAGAAUCCCUCCUGAUCUCAGUGAUGGAGCAGUGACCUCUGACCCUGAAACUGCCUGCAAAAGGAGUGUCUGUGAGAGGAAAGAGGAAGAGGAUGAUGUUCAGACACGUAAAGCAGCACCUCCAGAACCCAGCUGUGUGUCUAUGAAGAGUGACGCAUCCAUGAGAAUCCCUCCUCUUCUCAGUGAUGGAGCAGUGACCUCUGACCCUGAAGUGAAAAGACGCAACGUAAUCAGAUCAGUGACGCCCCGUCUGACCUGCACUGACUCUGACUGUCAAACCCUCAUCAAGAAGCAUGACACAGAAACCCUGCAGAGAGUCAAAGACCAACACAAAAUUAGCAUGAAGAACAAGUACGAGAGCUUAUUUGAGGGAAUCAAACUAGCAGAGAAUCAAACCCUCCUGAACAGGAUCUACACACAGCUCUACAUCAUAGAGGGAGAGAGUGAAGGGGUGAAUGAAGAACAUGAGGUUUUACAGAUGGAGAAAUCAGCCAGAACACAAGACACUCCAAUCUACUGCAAUGACAUCUUUAAACCUUUACAUCAACCAGGACUUGAGAAGAAAGACAAAAUCAAGACUGUUCUUACUAAAGGCAUCGCUGGAAUAGGAAAAACCGUCUCUGUGCAGAAGUUCAUUCUGGACUGGGCCGAGGGAAAAGCCAAUCAGGAUGUGGAUUUCAUGUUUGUGCUUCCAUUUCGAGAGCUGAACUUGAUUAAAGAUCACCAGUACAGUCUUCACAGACUUCUGCUGGACUUUCAUCCUGAACUUCAAGAUCUGGACUCAACGAUUUAUGAGGAGUGUAAAGCUGUGUUCAUCUUUGAUGGUCUAGAUGAGAGCAGAAUCACACUGAUGUUUUCAGACAGACAGAAAGUUUGUGGUGUGAAUGAGUCUUCAUCAGUUUGUGAUGUGAAUGAGUCUUCAUCAGUGGGUGUGUUGAUGUCAAACCUCAUCAGAGGAGAGCUGCUUCCCUCUGCUCUCAUCUGGAUCACCUCCAGACCAGCAGCAGCCAAUCAGAUCCCCUCAAAAUACAUCCACCGUGUGACAGAAAUUCAGGGAUUCAGUGAGCCUCAGAAGGAGGAAUAUUUCAGGAAGAGAAUCAGUGGCGAGCUUCAAGCCAGCAGAAUCAUCUCGCAAAUUAGAAGAUCAAGAAGCCUCCACAUCAUGUGUCACAUACCCGUCUUCUGCUGGAUCUCAGCCACUGUGCUUCAAAACCUCCUGAAACAAAAUGACAGUCCAGAAAUCCCUCAAACUCUGACUGAAAUGUACAUCCACUUCCUGCUGACUCAGAUCAACAUGAGGAAUCAGAAGUAUGAUGAGAGAGAUCCAGAGAAACUCCUGAAAUCCAACAGAGACGUGAUUCUGAAACUUGCUGAACUGGCUUUCAAACAGCUGAUGAAGGGCAAUGUGAUGUUCUAUGAGGAGGACCUGAUUGAGAGCGGCAUAGACAUCACUGACGCCUCAGUGUAUUCUGGGGUUUGCACUGAGAUCUUUAAGGAGGAAUCUGUGAUUCAUCAGAGGAAAGUCUACUGCUUCAUUCAUCUGAGCUUUCAGGAGUUUCUAGCUGCUUUAUAUCUGUUUUACUGCCAUGUAGUCAAGAAUGAGGAAUCACUGAAGUUGUUUAUGAAUGAAAGAUAUAACAGUUACAGUCGGGAAAACUCUCUGUAUGAUCUACUAACAUCAGCAGUUGAUAAAUCCUUACAGAGUAAAAAUGGACACCUGGAUCUUUUCCUGCGGUUCCUGCUGGGCAUCUCACUGGAGUCCAAUCAGAGACUCUUACAGGAUUUACUGACACACACAGAGAACAGCUCAGAACCCAUCAGAGAAAUCACACAGUACACUAAAGACCAAAUCCAGGGUGAUUAUGAAUGUCUCUCAGCUGAGAGAAGCAUCAAUCUGUUCCUCUGUCUGCUGGAAAUGAAGGAUCAGACUCUGUACAGAGAGAUUCAGGGGUUUGUGAAAUCAGAGAAUCACUCAGUGAAUCGACUCUCUCCGUCUCAAUGCUCAACAAUCGCCUACAUGUUUCAGAUAUCAGAGGAGGUGCUGGAUGAGUUUGAUCUGAAGAAAUACAACACAUCAGAUGAGGGUAGAAGGAGACUGAUACCAGCUGUGCUGAACUGCAGAAAAGCUAUACUCGCUGACUGUAAUCUCACUGAUCAGUGCUGUGAAAGGUUGUCUUCAUGUCUACAAUCAUCAAACUCUCUGAGAGAGCUGGACCUGAGUAACAAUAACCUGCAGGAUUCAGGAGUGAAGCUUCUCGCUGAUGGACUGAAGAAUUUACACUGUCAACUCAACAUACUGAGAUUAUCUGGCUGUAUGGUGACAGAGGAAGGCUGUUGUUAUCUGGCUUCAGCUCUGAGAUCAAACCCCUCACACCUGAGAGAGCUGGAUCUGAGCUACAAUCACCCAGGACAAUCAUUAGUCAAGCUUCUUUCUGAUCCAAACUACAGACUGGACAAACUCAAUGUGGAUCAUGGAAGAGAGAUCAGAAUUACAGCAGGGCCACAGAAAUAUGCAUGUGAUCUCACAGUGGAUUUAAACUCAGUAAAGACUAGUCUUGUUCUGCCUGAGAGGAACAGAAAGGUGAAGUGUGUGAGAGAGAAUCAGCCGUAUCCUGAUCAUCCAGAGAGAUCUGAUAUCUGUUAUCAGAUUCUGUGUAGAGAGAGUCUGACUGGACGCUGUUACUGGGAGGCUGAAUGGAGCGGGUGGGUUAGUAUAUCAGUGACGUAUAAAGGAAUCAGCAGGAAAAGAUUGAGCAAUGGCAAUGUGUUUGGAUCCAAUGAAAAGUCCUGGUGUCUGUUCUGUUCUAAAAACAGUUUCACUGUCAAGCACAAUAAUAAGAGCACAGAAAUAUCUGCUCCUUCACGUCGCUCUAAGAGAGUAGGAGUGUUUCUGAACUGGUCGGUCGGCACUCUGUCCUUCUACAGCGUCUCUGACACACACAAACUCACACACUUACACACAUUUAACAGCACAUUCACUGAACCCCUCUAUGCUGGAUUUGGUUUUUUUUAUUCUGAUGCUUCAGUGUCUUUGUGUGAGAUUAAACAUCUUCCUGUGAGAAACAACUGAGACACACAGAUGAGUGAAAGAAACACACUCACAUUAUCUCUCUCUUUAACUCACACAGCUGUAAACUCUUUCUCUCUUCUCAUCUUAAUUUCAGUGUGUAUAUAGAAACACACACGUUGACUUCAGUCUAAAUGAGACACACCACAGACUUCUAUUGUGUUUCUAUAAAGACAUUUGAAUGCGGAUCAACAGGAGUUUUGUCUUUCUGAGUCUCUGAGCGCCACCUGGAGGAAGAUUGAGUUUCUCGCUCACAGGAAACAGUUCUUAGUGUUUGCUCUGUUACUAUGGUAACUGAGGGUCAUGUCAGAGGUCAUCUUCUAAACACACUUCAUUACAAAUGUUAAAGGCUGUGGAGCUCAUCUUACUAUAUACAAGCAAUCAAUUGUAAUUUUCAACUAAUAAUCAAAAGUCUGUUUUCUAACAAUGUUUUUUUUUUCAAAUGUCCUUGAUAUUUCAUGUGUUUAGCACUCAACAUUGGUCAACACUAUUAUAAAUAUAUUGUUAUAAAAUAUAUAUUCAGAUUGUAAAUAUAUGAACAGAACUGUGAAGAAAAAAAAAAUUGUUUCUGUAAUGCUGUAUUUAAUAAAGACUUGUUUAUGUUUGAAA
RNA transcript from Ctenopharyngodon idella (grass carp), 4032 nucleotides. It is a transcript of the gene named NACHT, LRR and PYD domains-containing protein 3-like, with no coding region annotated. The record is from RefSeq and is a predicted model, not a curated record. NCBI's taxonomy places the organism in Eukaryota, Metazoa, Chordata, Actinopteri, Cypriniformes, Xenocyprididae. The transcript has 9 exons.